ACAUCCCACUAGUUGCCGUCCAGGCUGUGGGAGGUUUGUUCUUCUUUGCAGUAAAUCUUAAAGCUGCUCACUGGGUCUGCACUAUGUUUAUGAGCUGUGACACUCACCAUGAAAGUCUGCAGCUUCACUCCUGAAGUCAGUCAGACCAUGAACCCACCUGGAGGAACUAACAACUCCAGACGUGCCACCUCUACCAGCCAUAACACUCACUGCGAAGGUCUGCAGCUUCAUUCCUGAAGUUAGCAAGACCACGAACCCACCAGAAGGAAGAAAUUCUGGACACAUCUGAAGGAACAAAUUCCGGACACACCAUCUUUUUUUUUUUUUUUGAGAAGGAGUCUCGGUCUGUCACCCAGACUGGGGUGCAGUGGCGUGAUCUCGGCUUAUUGCAACCUCUGCCUCCCGGAUUCAAGCAAUUCUCCUGUCUCAGCCUCCUGAGUAGCUGCAAUUACAGACAUGUGCCACCACGCCCAGCUCAUUUUUUUGUAUUUUUAGUAGAGACAGGGUUUCGCCAUAUUGGCCAGGCUGGUCUCCAACUCGUGACCUUGUGAUCCACCCACCUCGACCUCCCAAAGUGCUGUGAUGACAGGUGUGAGCCACUGUGCCCAGCCACGGACACAUCAUCUUUAAGUACUGUAACACCGCGAGGGUCCGCGGCUUCAUUCUUGAAUUGAUGUUGGUGUGGGCUGGCAGCUAUCGUCUGGAAUAUCUACACAUGGCUUCUCCGUGAACUUCCUAACAACAUGGUGCCUGGGAUCAAAAGGCAAGUCUCCCAGGAGAGAAGAGGGAGGAGGGAGAACAGGAUGGAAGGAAGGGGAGAGAGAGAGAGAGAGAUCCUUGCCUUCAGGGGGAUACAGAUGUUGUAAGGGUACCCAUUUUUAUACCUUUACAACAUCUACAACAUGGUAAGCAAUGCUGUUACUCUAACAAGUGAAGUUAACACAUGAAUUUUUUUAAAUGAGUUUGUUAACCUGUGGUUGGUUAAUUUUAUGUGUCAACUUGGUUAGGCCACAGUGCCCAAACAUUUGGUCAAAGAUUCUCCUGGAUGUGUCUGUGAGGGUGUUUUUGGAUGAGAUUAACAUUGAAAUUGGUGAACAUUAAGUACAGCAGAUGGCCUUCCAUACUGUGGGUGGGCCUCAUCACAUCAGUUGAAGGCCUGAAUAGAACAAGAGACUCCCUCUCGCUCUCCUGGCUCCAGACAAGAAGAAAUUCUGGGAAUUCUGUCAGCUGACAUCUUCCGGAUUGAACCACAACACUGGCUCUUUUCUAGGUCUCUAGCCUACCAGCCCACACUGCAGAUUUUGAACUUAGCCUCCAUAAGCAUGGGUCAAUUCCUUAAACAAAAUCUCUCUCUCAGUCAGGCUCAUGCUUGUAAUCCCAGCACUUUGGGAGGCUGAAUCUGGCAGAUGGCUUGAGCUCAGGAGUUCGAGACCAGGCUGGGCAACAUGGCAAAACCCCAUCUCUACAAAAAAUAAAAAAUUAGCUGGGCAUGGUGGCAUGCACCUGUAGUCUCAGCUUCUCGCGAGACUGAGGCAGGAGGAUUGCUUGAGCUAGGGGGGGUUGAGGCUGCAGGAAGCCAUGAUUACGCCAGUGCACUCCAGCCUGAGUGACAGAGCAAGGACCUGUCUCAAAAAAAAAAAGAACGAGAGAGAAAUCUUUGUCUAUAAAUAUGCACAUCCUACUGGUUCUGUUUCUCUGGAGAACGCUAUUACAGCCUGCUUUCCUAGUAUCAACAAAACCAUGCGCUCCUUGUCCAGAAGUUUUUGCCCUUGCUUCAUAACUGCAAAUGGAAUUUUCAUGGAAAAUAUUUCCUGUGUUACUUUUUUUUUUUCUGUCAUCCAGGCUGGAGUCCAGUGGUGCAACCUCAGCUCACUGCCAUCUCCCCUCUGGGUUCAAGAGAUUCUCAUGCCUCAGCCUCCUGAGUAGCUGGGACUCCAGGUAUGCUCCACUACGCCUGGCUGAUUUUUGUAUUUUUCAUAGAGAGGUGUUUCACCACAUUGGCCAGGCUGGUCUUGAACUGACCUCAGGUGAUGUGAUCUGCCUGCUCCGGCCCCCCAAAGUGCUGGGAUUACAGGCAUGAGCCACUGUGCCCCGCCACAUUACUUCUUAAUAAUAGAUGAUGUGCCCCUAAUAUACAGUAUUUACAUAUUGGCUGUAAAGCCUUGCAGCAAGGUGGCAGUUUUCAGCCAUUUUUUGAGGAGGAUGUGAACAGGAGCCAUUACAUGGCUCAUCAGUAAUCUGUUGCAAAGAAGCUGUGCUCAUCAGCGCAGAAGUAAAUCUUUCAUUACUGGAAAAUGCGAAUCAGCUCGAGUGAAACAGGGCUCUGUUGGCUUAUAAAACUUAAUUAUGUUUUUAACUCCAUAAAUUAGUUCAAGUAAAGACGUUUGAAAACAGCCAAUUUCCAGUUUGAACUUACAGAAAAUUAAUGGCAAGAAUGUAAACUUCUAAUGCGUUAAGAAAUUAUUUGAAUUUCUUAACUGUGUCUCCCACUAAAAGUUUGUGCUUUAAAUUUUGUCAGUUCUGCAUCAAAAUUGCUCAGUUUCCUCUUAUACAACAAACCCUAGAUAAUUCUAACGUUUCAGAAUAAGAGCAUUUCCUUAAGAAGAGAAAAUACACUGGGGGUGGUGGGGGGGAAUGGGAUCAGUACGUGGCUUAAGUUUUUCACCCUUGAGGAGUUAAGAAAAACACUUCAACAUAAGGACAAAAGCUCCCUUGUUUAAGCACUUCCCCAGCUGCACUUCAACUAAAUAUAUCCUGGGCAGAGUGUUUUCAUUUCUCCACCCCUCUCCUGAGCCAAUCACAUGGUGACAAACAGCUCGGAGGCCCCUUGGGACUAGCACUGCAGAGGUACAGGCUUGGUUACGGGGCUUCGCGUUCCUUUCCAGCACAGGCCUGCUCUGGGCCACCCUGCCUCCCCCAGAGGCUGCAGGGAGCCCCAAGCCGGCGCACUGCGGGCUCUGCUCAGAGAGACGCCUCCACGGGUUAAUUCAGCGGCCUCUGUCUGGAAUUCAUGCACCACCUGGGCUGACAGCAUGAAUGACUCAUUGUUUCCCCUCUGAACAGGCUGAGGAGUGCUUCUUGGUGUCAAUAACUGAGGCAAAGUAAAAUUGUUUUUUCCCUUUCAACAUGACCAAUUUUCUAAAACUGAAUAUAGAACUGGAAAUCUG
Molecule: long non-coding RNA, 3167 nt
Organism: Symphalangus syndactylus (siamang)
Lineage: Eukaryota; Metazoa; Chordata; Mammalia; Primates; Hylobatidae
Source: RefSeq, a predicted model, not a curated record